This 400-nucleotide transfer-messenger RNA is filed under the name Tannerellaceae bacterium. It matches the Rfam family "transfer-messenger RNA". Rfam says of the family: Bacterial tmRNA, also known as 10Sa RNA or SsrA, is named for its dual tRNA and mRNA-like properties. Its role is to liberate the mRNA from a stalled ribosome. To accomplish this part of the tmRNA is used as a reading frame that ends in a translation stop signal. Lineage: Bacteria; Pseudomonadati; Bacteroidota; Bacteroidia; Bacteroidales; Tannerellaceae. The record is from RNAcentral.
GGGGCUGACCGGUUUAGACAGCGGGUAGAAGUGGUUUGUAAGCAUGUAGUGCGUGGUUGGCUUGCACUUAAAUCUCAGACAACAAUCAAUUAACUGGCGAAAAUAACUACGCUCUCGCUGCUUAAUCGAAUAACAGUAGAUUAAAGCUUUAUCUCGACACUAGGUGCCGAAACGAGACAUCACCCGGAUGCUGUUGCUCCGAAGCGGUCUGAUCAGGUGGUGCAGCAAUAUCGGAGAUAGUUUAAAGGAAACCUCGGACUUUAAGCAAAAAUUUAGAGGAUAAGGAAAGAGUUGGUAGCUUCGGUCUUGCUCUCUCCCGACAAUUAAAGCGAAGAUAAACAUGUAGAAAGCAAAUUAAUUCCUCGUUUGGACGAGAGUUCGAAUCUCUCCAGCUCCACAA